UGCGUGGCUAGGCACCGUAGAAAAAAACCGGCCGAGGAAGCAAGCAUCUGAACAUGCGUUCAAAUAUUGAAGCGUUCCGAAUUUUUCGAUUUGCACCUUGUUCUGUAUUCUCUUAUCGGGCAACAAAUUAGACACUUGACAACAAAACACUUACAAGUGUUCCCCCAACCUGUUUUUCGCGGGGUCGAAAGCUCCGGACGAUCAAUGGUGGAAUAAGUCUAUUCGGAAAAUAAUUACUUAUGAAGUAGUGUCAUCUUGAGUCUUUUGGGGACUUGAUUAGACGUUUCAGCUUGUCAGCGUUUGUUUUCCAGGUUGCCCCCUGUGUGCUGCCGAGUUUUGCCGGUACGCGUUUUAACCAAACGGGGAUUGAACGACUCCUUACCUUGGACGGUGCUAUUAAGAACAAAGAUCGAUUGGAACCAUCGUAUUCUUUCUCUGCGAGGAUAAAUCGGGCGUUGGAUAACGGAGAGUGAUUGCAGGACAACUGAGGUUCUGGUCGAUGUCUCCGUCGUUGUUAAAGGUUCCCAGGUUCGAGACUGGCCUUAGACCACAACGUGUUCCUAAGAUUAGAAGACAAAUACGUUAGCCACGAAGCUAUCACGAGGACUUAUACCUAGACGGGGACGAGAAGACUAUACUUAGAGCAGAGAGAAAAACAGUCCAACGCUGCUCUAUUGGAAUAAAAGUGCGCGUCUUGAUAGUGUAUGUGUUUUAUCAUACAUGUCGAUGGUUUGUUAGUCCUGCAUUGCUUCCUAGUAUUCACGAAAAACAUUAUACUCCAUAUUUAGUAUAAAAUCCUUCAUUUUAAUAACAGUGCGCGCAGUUUUUACGGCGGCUCUCAUUAUACUGCCACCCUGUCGUUGCCUUAAGUUCGAUUAUAGGAGCUUAGAAGUUGAUAUAUUUAUUAUAUGAAGUUUUUCCGUUUUCAAACCGUUCAGUUACCGCGAAGAGUUCACUUGCCGCUAUUAGCACGGUCAACAGGCUUGCGUCUUCUGCGUGUCUUGCAUCAAAUUUAUUCUUACCCUUCCCUCAGAUGCGUCAAGUUUUUAAAGUUUGGCCGGCACAUUUGCAAACAAUGGAAAAAUCAGUAUGACAAAAACAGAAUAUUAUGUUAAUAACAAAGCUAAACGCCCGGAUGAUUUUAGCGAUGUAUUUGAAUUAAAUUGAAAGUAGGGCUUAUAACGACACUUAAUUCAAGUGUGGUUUCUGCCCCGGAAAUAAAGAAACCAAUCAGAGUCAUAUUGCUUAAAUGAUUGGAGUAAUUAGCUCAAAUAGCGACCGUUUUGAUUUGAGAUCGUACAUGUACAGUUCAUGAACGACACUUAUCGAAAGCAUUUCUGUCAUACUUAAAAUAAACGUUCAGAACGGAAAAGGAACCAUACAGAAGAUCAUUGCAAUACUCCGAUGGGCAUUUUUCCCA
Molecule: long non-coding RNA, 1420 nt
Organism: Varroa destructor (honeybee mite)
Lineage: Eukaryota; Metazoa; Arthropoda; Arachnida; Mesostigmata; Varroidae
Gene: PQBP1
Source: RefSeq, a predicted model, not a curated record